RNAcentral lists this ribosomal RNA (253 nucleotides) under uncultured bacterium. RNAcentral describes it as "partial 16S ribosomal RNA". It matches the Rfam family "Bacterial small subunit ribosomal RNA", at positions 524 to 776 of the family's 1533-position model. The record is from RNAcentral.
UACGGGGGGGGCAAGCGUUGUUCGGAAUUACUGGGCGUAAAGGGCUCGUAGGCGGCCAACUAAGUCGAACGUGAAAUCCCCGGGCUCAACCCGGGAACUGCGUCCGAUACUGGAAGGCUUGAAUCCGGGGGAGGGAUGUGGAAUUCCAGGUGUAGCGGUGAAAUGCGUAGAUAUCUGGAGGAACACCGGUGGCGAAGGCGACAUCCUGGACCGGUAUUGACGCUGAGGCGCGAAAGCCAGGGGAGCAAACGGG